AUCACUAUAGCUCAUCUGGUAGAGCGGCUGACUCAUAAUCAGUAGGUAAUUGGUUCGAUUCCAGUUAGUG
This 70-nucleotide transfer RNA is filed under the name Methylococcales bacterium. Its description in RNAcentral is "tRNA-Ile". It matches the Rfam family "tRNA". Rfam says of the family: Transfer RNA (tRNA) molecules are approximately 80 nucleotides in length. Their secondary structure includes four short double-helical elements and three loops (D, anti-codon, and T loops). Further hydrogen bonds mediate the characteristic L-shaped molecular structure. tRNAs have two regions of fundamental functional importance: the anti-codon, which is responsible for specific mRNA codon recognition, and the 3' end, to which the tRNAs corresponding amino acid is attached (by aminoacyl-tRNA synthetases). tRNAs cope with the degeneracy of the genetic code in two manners: having more than one tRNA (with a specific anti-codon) for a particular amino acid; and 'wobble' base-pairing, i.e. permitting non-standard base-pairing at the 3rd anti-codon position. The record is from RNAcentral. Lineage: Bacteria; Pseudomonadati; Pseudomonadota; Gammaproteobacteria; Methylococcales.